CAAGUCGAACGAUGAAGCCUAGCUUGCUGGGUGGAUUAGUGGCGAACGGGUGAGUAACACGUGAGUAACCUGCCCUUGACUCUGGGAUAAGCGCUGGAAACGGCGUCUAAUACCGGAUAUGACCUGCCCCGGCAUCGGGUGUGGGUGGAAAGUUUUUCGGUCAAGGAUGGACUCGCGGCCUAUCAGCUUGUUGGUGAGGUAAUGGCUCACCAAGGCGACGACGGGUAGCCGGCCUGAGAGGGUGACCGGCCACACUGGGACUGAGACACGGCCCAGACUCCUACGGGAGGCAGCAGUGGGGAAUAUUGCACAAUGGGCGAAAGCCUGAUGCAGCAACGCCGCGUGGGGGAUGACGGCCUUCGGGUUGUAAACCUCUUUUAGUAGGGAAGAAGGGCUUCGGCUUGACGGUACCUGCAGAAAAAGCACCGGCUAACUACGUGCCAGCAGCCGCGGUAAUACGUAGGGUGCAAGCGUUGUCCGGAAUUAUUGGGCGUAAAGAGCUCGUAGGCGGUUUGUCGCGUCUGCUGUGAAAACCCGAGGCUCAACCUCGGGCCUGCAGUGGGUACGGGCAGACUAGAGUGCGGUAGGGGAGAAUGGAAUUCCUGGUGUAGCGGUGGAAUGCGCAGAUAUCAGGAGGAACACCGAUGGCGAAGGCAGUUCUCUGGGCCGUUACUGACGCUGAGGAGCGAAAGCGUGGGGAGCGAACAGGAUUAGAUACCCUGGUAGUCCACGCCGUAAACGUUGGGAACUAGAUGUGGGGACCUUUCCACGGUCUCCGUGUCGC
This 784-nucleotide ribosomal RNA is filed under the name Rathayibacter rathayi. Its description in RNAcentral is "bacterial SSU rRNA". It matches the Rfam family "Bacterial small subunit ribosomal RNA", at positions 58 to 849 of the family's 1533-position model. Lineage: Bacteria; Bacillati; Actinomycetota; Actinomycetes; Micrococcales; Microbacteriaceae. The record is from RNAcentral.